This 29-nucleotide non-coding RNA is filed under the name Mus musculus (house mouse). The record is from RNAcentral. Lineage: Eukaryota; Metazoa; Chordata; Mammalia; Rodentia; Muridae.
UCGCCAGUGCUCUACAUCGCAAAACCCUA